GACGAACGCUGGCGGCGUGCUUAACACAUGCAAGUCGAACGGAAAGGCCCUGCUUUUGUGGGGUGCUCGAGUGGCGAACGGGUGUGUAACACGUGAGUAACCUGCCCUAGACUUUGGGAUAACUUCAGGAAACUGGGGAUAAUACCGGAUAGGAGCUUACGCUGCAUGGUGGGGGUUGGAAAGUUUCGGCGGUUGGGGAUGGACGCGCGGCUUAUCAGCUUGUUGGUGGGGUAGUGGCUUACCAAGGCCUUGACGGGUAGCCGGCCUGAGAGGGUGACCGGCCACACUGGGACUGAGAUACGGCCCAGACUCCUACGGGAGGCAGCAGUGGGGAAUAUUGCACAAUGGGCGGAAGCCUGAUGCAGCAACGCCGCGUGCGGGAUGACGGCCUUCGGGUUGUAAACCUCUUUCAGUAGGGAAGAAGCGAAAGUGACGGUAAUUGCAAAAGAAGCACCGGCUAACUACGUG
This 468-nucleotide ribosomal RNA is filed under the name uncultured bacterium. Its description in RNAcentral is "partial 16S ribosomal RNA". It matches the Rfam family "Bacterial small subunit ribosomal RNA", at positions 28 to 507 of the family's 1533-position model. The record is from RNAcentral.